CCAAAUGGACCACAUUGACCCUAAACCCAAAAUUUAACUUGGGAUUAAGCCUAUUGACCAAAUUAGAAGGCUCCAACGUGGGUAAAUUGGACUUGGGCCAAAUCCUUGGAGGGGAUCCAAACAAGUAAACUCAUAAUUUAAACUGAGAAAUUAUGUAUUAGACAAACGGAGAAUAAUAUGAUCCCUAUGAUGUGGUGCAAGGUGAUUAAGGAUCCGUCAUCUGGACUGGUCAAACGUGGAAAAGCGAAUUACUGUAAGUAACUUGUCUUAAUCUUAUUAUGGAUCAUGAAUACGCUUUCUUACCUAAAUUAUAAGUGUAAGUAACCCGUCUUAAUCUUAUUGUAGAUUAUGUAU
This 354-nucleotide long non-coding RNA is filed under the name Phoenix dactylifera (date palm). RNAcentral's name for it is "long non-coding RNA (PDAC_LNC020579)". The record is from RNAcentral. Lineage: Eukaryota; Viridiplantae; Streptophyta; Magnoliopsida; Arecales; Arecaceae.